UGGGGAAUUUUGGACAAUGGGCGCAAGCCUGAUCCAGCCAUGCCGCGUGAGUGAAGAAGGCCUUCGGGUUGUAAAGCUCUUUCGGACGGAAAGAAAUCGCACGGGCCAAUACCCUGUGUGGAUGACGGUACCGUAAGAAGAAGCACCGGCUAACUACGUGCCAGCAGCCGCGGUAAUACGUAGGGUGCGAGCGUUAAUCGGAAUUACUGGGCGUAAAGCGUGCGCAGGCGGUUGUGCAAGACAGGCGUGAAAUCCCCGGGCUUAACCUGGGAACUGCGCUUGUGACUGCACGGCUAGAGUACGGCAGAGGGGGGUGGAAUUCCACGUGUAGCAGUGAAAUGCGUAGAGAUGUGGAGGAACACCGAUGGCGAAGGCAGCCCCCUGGGCCGAUACUGACGCUCAUGCACGAAAGCGUGGGGAGCAAACAGG
This 429-nucleotide ribosomal RNA is filed under the name uncultured Rhodocyclaceae bacterium. Its description in RNAcentral is "bacterial SSU rRNA". It matches the Rfam family "Bacterial small subunit ribosomal RNA", at positions 355 to 776 of the family's 1533-position model. The record is from RNAcentral. Lineage: Bacteria; Pseudomonadati; Pseudomonadota; Betaproteobacteria; Rhodocyclales; Rhodocyclaceae.